AACGAACGCUGGCGGCAUGCCUAACACAUGCAAGUCAAACGAUGCCUCCGGGCAUAGUGGCGCACGGGUGCGUAACGCGUGGGAAUCUGCCCUUGGGUUCGGAAUAACUCGCCGAAAGGCGAGCUAAUACCGGAUGAUGACGUAAGUCCAAAGAUGUAUCGCCCAAGGAUGAGCCCGCGUAGGAUUAGCUAGUUGGUGGGGUAAAGGCCCGCCAAGGCGACGAUCCUUAGCUGGUCUGAGAGGAUGAUCAGCCACACUGGGACUGAGACACGGCCCAGACGCCUACGGGAGGCAGCAGUGGGGAAUAUUGGACAGUGGGCGAAAGCCUGAUCCAGCAAUGCCGCGUGAGUGAUGAAGGCCUUAGGGUUGUAAAGCUCUUUUACCCGGGAUGAUAAUGACAGUACCGGGAGAAUAAGCUCCGGCUAACUCCGUG
Molecule: ribosomal RNA, 433 nt
Filed under: uncultured bacterium
Lineage: Bacteria
Description: partial 16S ribosomal RNA
Rfam family: Bacterial small subunit ribosomal RNA
Source: RNAcentral